RNAcentral lists this small nucleolar RNA (116 nucleotides) under Myotis davidii. RNAcentral describes it as "Small nucleolar RNA SNORA31". It matches the Rfam family "Small nucleolar RNA SNORA31", at positions 24 to 130 of the family's 130-position model. Rfam says of the family: ACA31 (SNORA31) belongs to the H/ACA class of snoRNAs which are thought to guide the sites of modification of uridines to pseudouridines. ACA31 is predicted to guide the pseudouridylation of U3713 in 28S rRNA and U218 in 18S rRNA. The record is from Rfam by way of RNAcentral. Lineage: Eukaryota; Metazoa; Chordata; Mammalia; Chiroptera; Vespertilionidae.
AUAGUUUCUCACUUAGAAAGCUCAUUGUUCUUUUGGUUUGCACUGGGAUGUGAAAGAAAAACAUCCCUGCGCUUUCUGUCUUUGUGGCGGCCCAGACUGAUUAAGGGACUACGUCU